Molecule: ribosomal RNA, 532 nt
Filed under: Staphylococcus pseudintermedius
Lineage: Bacteria; Bacillati; Bacillota; Bacilli; Caryophanales; Staphylococcaceae
Description: partial 23S ribosomal RNA
Rfam family: Bacterial large subunit ribosomal RNA
Source: RNAcentral
CCGGUGUGAGUAGCGAAAGACGGGUGAGAAUCCCGUCCACCGAUUGACUAAGGUUUCCAGAGGAAGGCUCGUCCGCUCUGGGUUAGUCGGGUCCUAAGCUGAGGCCGACAGGCGUAGGCGAUGGAUAACAGGUUGAUAUUCCUGUACCACCAUUAUUCGUUUUAAGCGAUGGGGGGACGCAGUAGGAUAGGCGAAGCGUGCUGUUGGAGUGCACGUCCAAGCAGUGAGAUUGAGUGUUAGGCAAAUCCGGCACUCUUAAGAUUGAGCUGUGAUGGGGAGAGGAACUUGUUCCUCGAGUCGUUGAUUUCACACUGCCGAGAAAAGCCUCUAGCUAGAAUAACGGUGCCCGUACCGCAAACCGACACAGGUAGUCAAGAUGAGAAUUCUAAGGUGAGCGAGCGAACUCUCGUUAAGGAACUCGGCAAAAUGACCCCGUAACUUCGGGAGAAGGGGUGCUCUUUGAGGUUCACGCUUCGAAGAGCCGCAGUGAAUAGGCCCAAGCGACUGUUUAUCAAAAACACAGGUCUCUGCU